GACGAAGGAUCCAAGCGUUGUCCGGAUUUACUGGGUUAAAGGGUGCGUAGGCGGAAAAUUAAGUCAGUGGUGAAAGCCCGCAGCUCAACUGUGGAACUGCCAUUGAAACUGAUUUUCUUGAAUAUAGCUGAGGCAGAUGGAAUAUAACAUGUGAGCGGUGAAAUGCUUAGAUAUGUUAUAGAACACCGAUGCGAAGGCAGUCUGCUAAACUAGUUAUUGACGCUGAGGCACGAAAGCGUGGGGAGCGAACAGG
This 253-nucleotide ribosomal RNA is filed under the name uncultured bacterium. Its description in RNAcentral is "partial 16S ribosomal RNA". It matches the Rfam family "Bacterial small subunit ribosomal RNA", at positions 524 to 776 of the family's 1533-position model. The record is from RNAcentral.